This 347-nucleotide unclassified non-coding RNA is filed under the name soil metagenome. Its description in RNAcentral is "partial contains 5.8S ribosomal RNA, internal transcribed spacer 2, and large subunit ribosomal RNA". The stretch from base 1 to 120 matches the Rfam family "5.8S ribosomal RNA", at positions 35 to 154 of the family's 154-position model. The record is from RNAcentral.
GAUGAAGAACGUAGCAAAAUGCGAUAAGUAAUGUGAAUUGCAGAAUUCAGUGAAUCAUCGAAUCUUUGAACGCACAUUGCGCCCGCUGGUAUUCCGGCGGGCAUGCCUGUUCGAGCGUCAUUUCAACCCUCAAGCCCCCGGGUUUGGUGUUGGGGAUCGGCUCUGCCCUUCUGGGCGGUGCCGCCCCCGAAAUACAUUGGCGGUCUCGCUGCAGCCUCCAUUGCGUAGUAGCUAACACCUCGCAACUGAACGCGGCGCGGCCAUGCCGUAAAACCCCAACUUCUGAAUGUUGACCUCGGAUCAGGUAGGAAUACCCGCUGAACUUAAGCAUAUCAAUAAGCGGAGGA